GUUGUAUGGUUAAGUGACUAAGCGUACACGGUGGAUGCCUUGGCAGUCAGAGGCGAUGAAAGACGUAGUAACUUGCGAUAAGCCCAGAUUAGGUAGUAACAACCAUUUGAGUCUGGGAUUUCUGAAUGGGGAAACCCACGUGCAUAAGCACGUAUCCUUACCUGAAUACAUAGGGUAAGGAGGCGAACCGGGGGAACUGAAACAUCUAAGUACCCCGAGGAAAAGAAAUCAACCGAGAUUCCGAAAGUAGCGGCGAGCGAAAUUGGACUAGCCCUUAAGCUUUACACGCGUUAGACGAACGGUCUGGAAAGUCCGACGAUACAGGGUGAUAGUCCCGUAGUUGACGACGUGUGUUCAGUGAAAUCGAGUAGGGCGGGACACGUGAUAUCCUGUCUGAAUAUGGGGGGACCAUCCUCCAAGGCUAAAUACUACUGACUGACCGAUAGUGAACCAGUACCGUGAGGGAAAGGCGAAAAGAACCCCUGUGAGGGGAGUGAAAUAGAACCUGAAACCGUGUACGUACAAGCAGUAGGAGCACCUUCGUGGUGUGACUGCGUACCUUUUGUAUAAUGGGUCAGCGACUUAUAUUCAGUGGCAAGGUUAACCAUCUAGGGGAGCCGUAGGGAAACCGAGUCUUAACUGGGCGUUCAGUCUCUGGAUAUAGACCCGAAACCAGGUGAUCUAGCCAUGGGCAGGUUGAAGGUUGAGUAACAUCAACUGGAGGACCGAACCGACUAAUGUUGAAAAAUUAGCGGAUGACUUGUGGCUAGGGGUGAAAGGCCAAUCAAACCUGGAGAUAGCUGGUUCUCCCCGAAAGCUAUUUAGGUAGCGCCUCGGACGAAUACUACUGGGGGUAGAGCACUGUUAAGGCUAGGGGGUCAUCCCGACUUACCAACCCUUUGCAAACUCCGAAUACCAGUAAGUACUAUCCGGGAGACACACGGCGGGUGCUAACGUCCGUCGUGGAGAGGGAAACAACCCAGACCGCCAGCUAAGGUCCCAAAUUACUACUAAGUGGGAAACGAUGUGGGAAGGCUCAGACAGCCAGGAUGUUGGCUUAGAAGCAGCCAUCAUUUAAAGAAAGCGUAAUAGCUCACUGGUCGAGUCGGCCUGCGCGGAAGAUGUAACGGGGCUAAGUAGUAAACCGAAGCUGCGGCAAUGUGCUUUUGCACAUUGGGUAGGGGAGCGUUCUGUAAGCGGUUGAAGGUGUGUGGUAACGCAUGCUGGACGUAUCAGAAGUGCGAAUGCUGACAUGAGUAACGAUAAAGGGGG
Molecule: ribosomal RNA, 1272 nt
Filed under: Vibrio parahaemolyticus
Lineage: Bacteria; Pseudomonadati; Pseudomonadota; Gammaproteobacteria; Vibrionales; Vibrionaceae
Description: partial 23S ribosomal RNA
Rfam family: Bacterial large subunit ribosomal RNA
Source: RNAcentral